AUGAACGCUGGCGGCGUGCCUAAUACAUGCCAGUCGAGCGAACAGACGAGGAGCUUGCUCCUCUGACGUUAGCGGCGGACGGGUGAGUAACACGUGGAUAACCUACCUAUAAGACUGGGAUAACUUCGGGAAACCGGAGCUAAUACCGGAUAACAUGUUGAACCGCAUGGUUCAACAGUGAAAGACGGUCUUGCUGUCACUUAUAGAUGGAUCCGCGCCGCAUUAGCUAGUUGGUAAGGUAACGGCUUACCAAGGCAACGAUGCGUAGCCGACCUGAGAGGGUGAUCGGCCACACUGAACUGAGACACGGUCCAGACUCCUACGGGAGGCAGCAGUAGGGAAUCUUCCGCAAUGGGCGAAAGCCUGACGGAGCAACGCCGCGUGAGUGAAGAAGGUCUUCGGAUCGUAAAACUCUGUUAUUAGGGAAGAACAAAUGUGUAAGUAACUAUGCACGUCUUGACGGUACCUAAUCAGAAAGCCACGGCUAACUACGUG
This 495-nucleotide ribosomal RNA is filed under the name uncultured bacterium. RNAcentral describes it as "partial 16S ribosomal RNA". It matches the Rfam family "Bacterial small subunit ribosomal RNA", at positions 29 to 507 of the family's 1533-position model. The record is from RNAcentral.